UACGGAGGAUGCAAGCGUUAUCCGGAUUCAUUGGGUUUAAAGGGUGCGCAGGCGGGGAUGUAAGUCAGUGGUGAAAAGCUGCCGCUUAACGGUAGUCUUGCCAAUGAUACUACAUUUCUUGAGUAUGGUUAAGGUAGGCGGAAUGUGCAGUGUAGCGGUGAAAUGCAUAGAGAUUGCACAGAAGGCCGAUUGCGGAGGCAGCUUACUGAGCCAUAACUGACGCUGAGGCACGAAAGCGUGGGGAUCGAACAGGAUUAGAUACCCUGGUAGUCCACGCCGUAAACGAUGUUCACUCGCUGUUUGCGAUAUACAGUAAGCGGCUAAGCGAAAGCAUUAAGUGAACCACCUGGGGAGUACGAUCGCAAGGUUGAAACUCAAAGGAAUUGACGGGGGCCCGCACAAGCGGAGGAACAUGUGGUUUAAUUCGAUGAUACGCGAGGAACCUUACCUGGGCUUAAAUGUAGAUUGCAUGAAUCGGAGACGGUUCUUUCCUUCGGGACUAUUUACAAGGUGCUGCAUGGUU
Molecule: ribosomal RNA, 523 nt
Filed under: uncultured bacterium
Lineage: Bacteria
Description: bacterial SSU rRNA
Rfam family: Bacterial small subunit ribosomal RNA
Source: RNAcentral